This 5101-nucleotide long non-coding RNA is filed under the name Cucumis sativus (cucumber). Its description in RNAcentral is "long non-coding RNA (CSAT_LNC000696)". The record is from RNAcentral. Lineage: Eukaryota; Viridiplantae; Streptophyta; Magnoliopsida; Cucurbitales; Cucurbitaceae.
ACUGUUCUAAGUUUAAUCCAUAUGAGCUAGCAGAGGAACCUAAUGGACCUAUAGAUCAUGGGCUCCAACGAUUCAAGAUUAACUAGCUAAACUCUUUUAAACCGAGUUAAUCAACAUUCGUUAACUAACGGGUCAUUCCACUAAAGUCUCGUAGUUGCACUCCCUCACUAUAGAUAUAUUUGUGUCCAUUUGAUAAAACCAUAAUCAGUAAGUUAAUCCUUCACAGGUUGCUCGUAACCUUGGCUGGGUCAAAAUAUCGUUUUACCCCCAAGAUUACAUCUUGCUCCUUAAGUCCCACUAAUCCACUAUUGAACAAUUGGUUUAAGGUUCAACCUAUAAACUUAAUCCCUCUCGGGCCAAUGAGAGUGGUGGGCCCCUUGUUCAACACUUGGAUUCAGUGCUUAAGAGAACAACCUAUCUACUAACUCUAAAGCGGGUAGGAGUGAAUUCCAUUUUGUACCCUAUGUUCCCAGCUAUCCACCCGAUCUUACCUCUAAAAUGGGAGGCUUAUUGGGCCAACGCUGAUGAACUGCCCUCACCUAUGCAGAUGUAAGGAUAAUCUCGUGUGAAAAGGAGUUCAUAGUUAACUCAAGAUUAAGACUAAGUUACCUAGGUCAUCAAUAAUUGAGAUAGUCAGUUUUAAACAGUAAACGGUGUUAUAACGUAAAAAAGACUAAUUCAUGGUUCAGUCUUAUGUAAACAUUUUACAUAGAAUGCCCCCACUUUCAUGUCUCUACAUGAACUAUUAGGAUCACCUCGUUUGUACUACAAAGUGGGCCGCAUCCAUAGUUUCUCUAAAUAAGGCGCCCAACCUUUAUUUCAUAUACUAUAAACUAUUUAGGCUAUAUACUCGAACUUGAUCCACGUUUAUGUUUACACAUAAAGUUCAAGUUUAUUCAAAAAUAGCUUUGGAACUUGAUUUAUUGGAUUUAAGAUUAUAAUAUUUAAUUUCUCAAUAACAACUUUAUUGAACAGAAUAUGAUUUACAAACUACGAGUUUUAGGACAAAAAAUUCCAACAAACCCCCACUUGGACUAAAAUUCCUAGUGGUAUGAGAGAUGUGGUGUGAGAGAAUAUAUAUGAAACUAGGGCAUAUGGCCAAUAAGUCUCCCACUUGUCCUAGUUUACAAACAUCGUAGACCUAAACUGUGUAGGUGACCCUCAAACACUUUAGCCGUGAGGGCUUUUGUAAAAGGAUGAACAAUGUUUUGCUGAGAAGAAAUCUGGGUUACUACAACGUCACCACGAUGUACAAUUUCCCUGAUAAGAUGGUACUUGCGUUCAAUAUGCUUUCCUCUUUUAUGGCUUCUAGGUUCUCUUGAAUUUGCAACUGCACCACUGUUGUCACAAUAUAAAGUUAUUGGUAGAUGCAUAUUUGGAACGACUUCCAAAUCUGUCAAGAAUUUUCUUAGCCAUACUGCUUCUUUUGCUACUUCACAAGCCGCUACGUAUUCAGCUUCCAUUGUGGAAUCAGCUAUACAAGUUUGCUUUAUGCUUCUCCAAACUACUGCUCCUCCAUUUAGAGUAAAUACUGAUCCUAAUGUAGACUUUCUAGCAUCUUUAUCAGUUUGAAAAUCUGAAUCAGUGUAUCCAGUAAGGAUCAGUUCCUUUGUAUCAUACAUGAGCAUGUAGUCUUUUGUUCUUCGAAGAUAUUUUAGAAUGUUUUAACGACUGUCUAGUGAUCACGUCCAGGAUUAGAUUGAUACCUACUGACCGUCCCUACUGAGUAGCAAAUGUCAGGUCUAGUACAUAACAUUGCAUACAUUAAACUUCCAACAGCGGAAGCAUAGGGAAUAUUUCUCAUAUCCUCAACUUCUUGAAGUGUCUUAGGACAUUGUUCCUUUGACAAAUGAAUUCCAUAUCUGUACGGCAGCAGACCCUUUUUGGAAUUCUGCAUUUUAUAUCUAGACAACAUUUUGUCUAUGUAAGAUGCUUGAGACAUGGCUAGUGUUUUGUUCUUACGGUUUCGAACAAUUUGGAUUCUGAGAACGUAUUGUGCAUCUCCCAGAUCUUUCAUUUGAAAUUGCAUAGCUAGCCAUUUCUUGAUAUCAGUAAGAUAUCCUACGUCAUUUCCAAUAAAUAGAAUAUCAUCUACAUAUAAGACUAAAAUGCUAUAAUGGAAUUGACGACCUUUUUGUAAACACAAGGCUCGUCAACAUUUUGUUCAAAGCCAUAAGAUUUGAUCGCAGUGUCAAAUCUUAUAUUCCAGGAUCUAGAUGCUUGUUUUAAUCCAUAAAUGGAUUUUUUAAGCUUACAAACCUUUUGUUCUUGAUCUUGUUCUAUAAACCCCUCUGGUUGAGACAUAUAGAUGCUCUCUUCAAGAUUACCGUUCAAAAAAGCUGUCUUGACAUCCAUCUGCCAAAUUUCAUAAUCAUAAAAAGUGGCGAUGGAUAAGAGUAUUCUAAUUGACAACGGGAGAGAAAGUUUCCUCAUAGUCUACUCCCUCUCUCUGGGUAUAACCCUUUGCCACAAGUCGAGCCUUAAAAGUCUGUACUUUACCGGCAUGGUCUCGUUUUCUCUUGUAGAUCCAUUUACAAUCAAUAGGUUUUACGUCAUUUGGUUGAUCUACUAGAGUCCAGACAGAAUUAAAGUACAUAGACUCCAUUUCGAGGUCCAUGGCUUUGAUCAUUGGUCACGAUCUACAUCUUUCAUUGCCUGUUUAUAGGUUAUUGGAUCCUCUAUGCCAUCGUCAGGUAUGACGACUUGAGUUUCAAUUAAACCCAAAUAGCGAUCAGGCUGAUGAACAACCCUCCCACUGCGUCGAGGCUCUCUCAACUGUUGAGAGGAUGUGAUUGACCAGAUUUCCUAGUCUUAUCAACUACCUUAGUGGAUGAACUAGGUUUAUCUAUAACACUUUUGGAAAUUUCUUUUAAUACUAGUUUACUACGAGGUUGAUGAUCCCUGAUGUGGUCUUCCUCUAAGAAUGUGGCAUUUGUUGAUAUAAAUAUUUUAUUUUCUUGAGGAUCAUAAAACAAACUACCUCUUGAUUCUUUUGGAUAACCUAUGAAAAAGCAUAAUUUUGAACGAUGUUCCAAUUUCUUAGAAUUUUGUACCAACACGUGUGCUGGACAACCCCAAAUUCUAAAAUGACGUAAACUUCGAUUACGCCCUUUCCAUAGCUUAUAAGGUGUUUCUGAAACACUUUUGGAGGGAACAUUAUUCAAAAUAUAAGCCGCUGUUUCUAAAGCAUAUCCCCAAAAAGAAUCUGGCAUAUGAGAAAAACUCAUCAUAGAGCGAACCAUGUCUAACAAGGUCCGAUUUCUUCUUUCUGAUACACCGUUCUGUUGAGGUGUACUAGGUGCAGAAAGUUGUGACUGGAUUCCAUUUUCUAUUAAAUAGUCUCGGAAUCGUAAGUCCAUAUACUCUCCACCUCGAUCUGAUCGAAGUAUUUUUAUUGUUUUACCUAAUUCGUUUUCUACUUCAGCUUAUAUUCUUUGAACUUUUCAAGACUAUUAGACUUAUGAUGUAUUAGGUAAAUAUGACCAUACCUUGAAUAAUCAUCAAUGAAGCUAAUGAAAUAUUCACCACCUCGAGCUAUGACAUUCAUUGGUCCACAAAGGUCCGAAUGUACGAGCUCUAAGGGUUCUUUGGCUCUUAGACCUUUUCCAGUAAAAGAUCUUUUGGUCAUUUUUCUUCAAGACAAGAUUCACAAGGAGGUAAAGAGUUAUUUUCUAACUGACUUAGAAGCCCACUUUUAACCAAUCUCCCAAUCCUAUUGAGAUUUAUGUGACCAAGUCUUAAGUGCCAUAAAUAGGCAUUAGAAGAAACUUUUUGUCUUUUAUUCUGAGUUUCAGCUGUUCUGAAUAUUUCAGUAUUUAAGAUAAAAUUUGAUCUGGUUAGUCUUAACUGAUAUAAGUUGUCUUCAAGUAUGGCAGAACAAACUAGAAUACCUUUAUAGAAAACGAACGCUUCACUAAUUUCAAAAGAUAUUCUAUACAUUUGUUCCAAAAUACAAGAGAUAGAUAUUAAAUUUCUUCUCAUUUGAGGUACAUAUAAGACAUUCGUAAGUAUGACACAUCACAUGCAUAAAAAAAAAACACCCUAAAAUGGACUGAUUUUUUGCUCCUAAAUUAAGCUAAGUACUAAAUUAUUACAUAAUUAAUUUGGUGUAGUACAGAACCACUCCCAAAAACUUCGAACCGGCUGAAAAACCAACCGAAACACCUUGAACCGACCCAAAAACCAAAUUUAUGGGCUUGAACCGGCCCAAUUAACUAAACAGGCCCAGGCGCACACGGGUCGGGCGCAGGCAGGCACGGGGACGCAGGCAGGCGCGCGGGCGCGCGAACGCAGGCGGUCGCGAAGCGAGUCAACGUCGGGUUUUCGGGUCUGUGACCUGAUUCUUCAUUUUUUUCAAUUCUCUCACCCGAUUGAACCAAUUACAGCCUAACUUCAACUCUAACUAUUUUUUUUUAUUUUAAAAAAAUUACAAACACUUUGCAACAAUAAAAAUAAGCCAUUAACAAGGCUAAUUACAAUAAUUAGAACAAAAACACUUAAUCUAGAGCCAAAAUCAUAAUAUAUCCAUUUUAGUUCAAACCAAAUUUUAUCUAAUAAAUAUGAACCCACCACAUGCAAUUGGGUAAAAAUGAAGCAUGCUCUGAUACCACAUGAUAGAACUAAGUCAUGCACAGCGGAAAAAGAAUCGAAUUUCUACCCAAAUUGCCACAAUUAACAUGUAACCAUAAACUAAUCAAAUUAGGGUUUUAAGAAAUAUUACCUUUGAAGCUUUCAAAAGGUUUGAUAUCUUCUUACCAAUUCUAACCGAGACCACCACUAGUACUCAACUGCUAUCCUCUAGACAAAGAACCGAGUUGUGGGACCCAAUUUUGGUGUAGAAAGUAAUGGAGCUAGCAGAGGAACCUAAUGGACCUAUAGAUCAUGGGCUCCAACGAUUCAAGAUUAACUAGCUAAACUCUUUUAAACCGAGUUAAUCAACAUUCGUUAACUAACGGGUCAUUCCACUAAAGUCUCGUAGUUGCACUCCCCUCACUAUAGAUAUAUUUGUGUCCAUUUGAUAAAACCAUAAUCAGUAAGUUAAUCCUUCACAGGUUGCUCGUAACCUUGGCUGGGUCAAAAUACCGUUUUACCCCCAAGAUUA